This 116-nucleotide ribosomal RNA is filed under the name Euglena gracilis. RNAcentral's name for it is "LSU rRNA chain 3 from Euglena gracilis (PDB 6ZJ3, chain LD)". The record is from RNAcentral. Lineage: Eukaryota; Euglenozoa; Euglenophyceae; Euglenales; Euglenaceae.
UGACCAAGCGUCUCUGGGUCAGCCCAGGGCUGGCCACCGAGCCCCUGUCUCCGGACAGGGAUGACUAUCGUGGCAGCCCCGUGGUGGCAGCUCCGCCUGCCAGGACCUGGAGUUUG